GAACGCUGGCGGCAGGCUUAACACAUGCAAGUCGAACGGGAAGCAAGGCUUCGGCCUUGUGGAGAGUGGCGCACGGGUGAGUAACGCGUGGGUAUCUGCCUCGAAGUGGGGGACAACCGCUGGAAACGGCGGCUAAUACCGCAUACGCCCUUAGGGGGAAAGCUUUAUGCGCUUCGAGAUGAACCCGCGUUGGAUUAGCUAGUUGGUGUGGUAACGGCGCACCAAGGCAUCGAUCCAUAGCUGGUCUGAGAGGAUGAUCAGCCACA
RNAcentral lists this ribosomal RNA (266 nucleotides) under uncultured Alphaproteobacteria bacterium. RNAcentral's name for it is "partial 16S ribosomal RNA". It matches the Rfam family "Bacterial small subunit ribosomal RNA", at positions 31 to 312 of the family's 1533-position model. Lineage: Bacteria; Pseudomonadati; Pseudomonadota; Alphaproteobacteria. The record is from RNAcentral.